This 245-nucleotide ribosomal RNA is filed under the name uncultured Eubacteriales bacterium. Its description in RNAcentral is "uncultured Clostridiales bacterium partial 16S ribosomal RNA". It matches the Rfam family "Bacterial small subunit ribosomal RNA", at positions 524 to 768 of the family's 1533-position model. The record is from RNAcentral. Lineage: Bacteria; Bacillati; Bacillota; Clostridia; Eubacteriales.
UACGUAGGGGGCGAGCGUUGUCCGGAAUGACUGGGCGUAAAGGGCGUGUAGGCGGCCUGAUAAGUCUGGAGUGAAAGUCCUGCAUUUAAUGUGGGAAUUGCUUUGGAUACUGUCGGGCUCGAGUGCAGAAGAGGUAAGUGGAAUUCCCAGUGUAGCGGUGAAAUGCGUAGAGAUUGGGAGGAACACCAGUGGCGAAGGCGACUUACUGGGCCGUAACUGACGCUGAGGCGCGAAAGCGUGGGGAG